RNAcentral lists this ribosomal RNA (2404 nucleotides) under Campylobacter coli. Its description in RNAcentral is "partial 23S ribosomal RNA". It matches the Rfam family "Bacterial large subunit ribosomal RNA", at positions 683 to 2925 of the family's 2925-position model. Lineage: Bacteria; Pseudomonadati; Campylobacterota; Epsilonproteobacteria; Campylobacterales; Campylobacteraceae. The record is from RNAcentral.
CUGAAUAGGGCGCUUAGUCAGAUGCUGCAGACCCGAAACGAAGUGAUCUAUCCAUGAGCAAGUUGAAGCUAGUGUAAGAACUAGUGGAGGACUGAACCCAUAGGCGUUGAAAAGCCCCGGGAUGACUUGUGGAUAGGGGUGAAAGGCCAAUCAAACUUCGUGAUAGCUGGUUCUCUCCGAAAUAUAUUUAGGUAUAGCGUUGUGUCGUAAUAUAAGGGGGUAGAGCACUGAAUGGGCUAGGGCAUACACCAAUGUACCAAACCCUAUCAAACUCCGAAUACCUUAUAUGUAAUCACAGCAGUCAGGCGGCGAGUGAUAAAAUCCGUCGUCAAGAGGGAAACAACCCAGACUACCAGCUAAGGUCCCUAAAUCUUACUUAAGUGGAAAACGAUGUGAAGUUACUUAAACAACCAGGAGGUUGGCUUAGAAGCAGCCAUCCUUUAAAGAAAGCGUAAUAGCUCACUGGUCUAGUGAUUUUGCGCGGAAAAUAUAACGGGGCUAAAGUAAGUACCGAAGCUGUAGACUUGCGCACAACUUAGAUUAUUUAAGUUUAGAAUAUGAGAAACUAAGUUAUAUGUUUAGUUAUAUUUUUACUGAUUUUUAUAGAGUAAAGAUAGAAAUAAAACUUAGUAAAAUCAGUAAAAAUAUUCUUAGACUAAAGUUAAGUAGUUUAAGUUGUGUGCAAGUGGUAGGAGAGCGUUCUAUUUGCGUCGAAGGUAUACCGGUAAGGAGUGCUGGAGCGAAUAGAAGUGAGCAUGCAGGCAUGAGUAGCGAUAAUUAAUGUGAGAAUCAUUAACGCCGUAAACCCAAGGUUUCCUACGCGAUGCUCGUCAUCGUAGGGUUAGUCGGGUCCUAAGUCGAGUCCGAAAGGGGUAGACGAUGGCAAAUUGGUUAAUAUUCCAAUACCAACAUUAGUGUGCGAUGGAAGGACGCUUAGGGCUAAGGGGGCUAGCGGAUGGAAGUGCUAGUCUAAGGUCGUAGGAGGUUAUACAGGCAAAUCCGUAUAACAAUACUCCGAGAACUGAAAGGCUUUUUGAAGUCUUCGGAUGGAUAGAAGAACCCCUGAUGCCGUCGAGCCAAGAAAAGUUUCUAAGUUUAGCUAAUGUUGCCCGUACCGUAAACCGACACAGGUGGGUGGGAUGAGUAUUCUAAGGCGCGUGGAAGAACUCUCUUUAAGGAACUCUGCAAAAUAGCACCGUAUCUUCGGUAUAAGGUGUGGUUCGCUUCGUAUUAGGAUUUACUCCGAAAGCGAAGAAACUUACAACAAAGAGUCCCUCCCGACUGUUUACCAAAAACACAGCACUCUGCUAACUCGUAAGAGGAUGUAUAGGGUGUGACGCCUGCCCGGUGCUCGAAGGUUAAUUGAUGGGGUUAGCAUUAGCGAAGCUCUUGAUCGAAGCCCGAGUAAACGGCGGCCGUAACUAUAACGGUCCUAAGGUAGCGAAAUUCCUUGUCGGUUAAAUACCGACCUGCAUGAAUGGCGUAACGAGAUGGGAGCUGUCUCAAAGAGGGAUCCAGUGAAAUUGUAGUGGAGGUGAAAAUUCCUCCUACCCGCGGCAAGACGGAAAGACCCCGUGGACCUUUACUACAGCUUGACACUGCUACUUGGAUAAGAAUGUGCAGGAUAGGUGGGAGGCUUUGAGUAUAUGACGCCAGUUGUAUAUGAGCCAUUGUUGAGAUACCACUCUUUCUUAUUUGGGUAGCUAACCAGCUUGAGUUAUCCUCAAGUGGGACAAUGUCUGGUGGGUAGUUUGACUGGGGCGGUCGCCUCCCAAAUAAUAACGGAGGCUUACAAAGGUUGGCUCAGAACGGUUGGAAAUCGUUCGUAGAGUAUAAAGGUAUAAGCCAGCUUAACUGCAAGACAUACAAGUCAAGCAGAGACGAAAGUCGGUCUUAGUGAUCCGGUGGUUCUGUGUGGAAGGGCCAUCGCUCAAAGGAUAAAAGGUACCCCGGGGAUAACAGGCUGAUCUCCCCCAAGAGCUCACAUCGACGGGGAGGUUUGGCACCUCGAUGUCGGCUCAUCGCAUCCUGGGGCUGGAGCAGGUCCCAAGGGUAUGGCUGUUCGCCAUUUAAAGCGGUACGCGAGCUGGGUUCAGAACGUCGUGAGACAGUUCGGUCCCUAUCUGCCGUGGGCGUAAGAAGAUUGAAGAGAUUUGACCCUAGUACGAGAGGACCGGGUUGAACAAACCACUGGUGUAGCUGUUGUUCUGCCAAGAGCAUCGCAGCGUAGCUAAGUUUGGAAAGGAUAAACGCUGAAAGCAUCUAAGCGUGAAGCCAACUCUAAGAUGAAUCUUCUCUAAGCUCUCUAGAAGACUACUAGUUUGAUAGGCUGGGUGUGUAAUGGAUGAAAGUCCUUUAGCUGACCAGUACUAAUAGAGCGUUUGGCUUAUCUUUAAUAAAGCAU